This 480-nucleotide unclassified non-coding RNA is filed under the name Hevea brasiliensis (rubber tree). The record is from RNAcentral. Lineage: Eukaryota; Viridiplantae; Streptophyta; Magnoliopsida; Malpighiales; Euphorbiaceae.
CGAUACAAACUGGUCGGAAAAGGUAGAGGAUCUCGUCGAUGCUGGAGAAAUCGAUGGAGCCAUUUCUUUGUUAGAAGAAUUAGUCGCAAAGCUAGAAUAUGAGUCCCAAAACUCGUCAAAUUCCCAGCUUCCUCUAUCUACUGCUCUACUGGAAUUAUCGAAGCUCUACUCCACUCAAGGAUUAUCUUUGCGAGCUGACCAAACCCGCUCUAAGGCAUUUCUCAUUAAACAGCAGCAAGAAAAUAGGGAUGUAAAUGCUACCAAGGAGUCAACUGGUGAUGGCAUUUCAGGUAGUCGGGUUUCACAAAGUGAUAACAAGGAUCACGCCAGCUUGCAAAUUGAUGCCUCACAGAAUGAUGAGGAUGAUGAUUGGGAAGCUAUUGCUGAUCGUGCUCCAGAUGAAUUACUUUCCCCACAACACUUGCCAGAAGUGUCUAAAAUUUCUUUGCAAGAUUCGAAAGUUCAAGCCCCCAAGCGACG